GAAGAAGGCCUUCGGGUUGUAAAGCACUUUCAGUCGUGAGGAAGGUAGUGUAGUUAAUAGCUGCAUUAUUUGACGUUAGCGACAGAAGAAGCACCGGCUAACUCCGUGCCAGCAGCCGCGGUAAUACGGAGGGUGCGAGCGUUAAUCGGAAUUACUGGGCGUAAAGCGCAUGCAGGUGGUUUGUUAAGUCAGAUGUGAAAGCCCGGGGCUCAACCUCGGAAUAGCAUUUGAAACUGGCAGACUAGAGUACUGUAGAGGGGGUAGAAUUUCAGGUGUAGCGGUGAAAAUGCGUAGAGAUCUGAAGGAAUACCGGUGGCGAAGGCGGCCCCCUGGACAGAUACUGACACUCAGAUGCGAAAGCGUGGGGAGCAAACAGGAUUAGAUACCCUGGUAG
Molecule: ribosomal RNA, 394 nt
Filed under: uncultured bacterium
Lineage: Bacteria
Description: bacterial SSU rRNA
Rfam family: Bacterial small subunit ribosomal RNA
Source: RNAcentral